Molecule: small nucleolar RNA, 121 nt
Filed under: Echinops telfairi (small Madagascar hedgehog)
Lineage: Eukaryota; Metazoa; Chordata; Mammalia; Afrosoricida; Tenrecidae
Description: Small nucleolar RNA SNORA61 (ENSETEG00000024826.1)
Source: RNAcentral
ACCCUUCAGGUUCCUAAGCCAUCAGCCCUAAACAUUGGUCGGAGUGGCUAUUAAAGGAGGAAAGGUGAAAAUGAAAUGGACCCUGAUUCUCCAAUGACACACAAUUGCAUCUCAAACAAAC